Molecule: long non-coding RNA, 248 nt
Filed under: Homo sapiens (human)
Lineage: Eukaryota; Metazoa; Chordata; Mammalia; Primates; Hominidae
Description: HSALNT0037121
Source: RNAcentral
CUGGGUGUUGCUGUGCGUGUGUUCUCAUGCACCUCCCUUCUGUGCCACAACAUAAGUGGAAAAUAUCUCCGCCUGAGUGCCUGGCCCCCCUUCUGCAUUGUUUCGGGGUCUUUGCAGCAGCACAGGGGCUUCUAGCCUCUUCCUGUAAUUUUGCAGAAGGUAGGUGCAGGAGUGGGGAGCCCUCACAUCAAAGGCUGCCUUCCAGGACUGCUGGCUCAGGGAAGGGAGGAGGGUGACCCUGGUGCAGA